GCAUCACCAACGGCGAAAAGUGCAGUGUGUGCGGUUACAGCAAUCAUAAAGCUGACAAGUGUCGUUUUAAAAGUUAUAAAUGUAAAAAGUGCGGUAAAAAAGGCCAUUUGCGUCGUAUGUGUUCGUCAAAUAAAGUUCAUUACGUUGAUGAAGAGUCGGUGGAUGACGGUGAUGAUGUGUUCGCAGGCUAAACAUUACAGUGGAAAAGUUAGACCUAACUUUACACCACAAGAUCGUGUAUGGGUAAAGAAGUAUCUCACUAACCAAAAAUUUAUAUGGAUCGAAGGAGUUAUUAUAAAAAAGAUUGGAGCCGUUAUGUAUACGGUAUACCUACCCGAAUAUAAUUUAGAGGUAAACAGACACGUAGACCAAUUAAGGUUUCAAGGCGGACAAGAUGUACCAGUUAUAGAACACAAAGAACAUAAUUGGGAUCCAGAUAUAGUGCCAGACAUAGACGGCGCAUUAUCAUCGCAGCCCUCAGCAGGUAUCUCCGCGGGCAUUGCUACAGAAUCAGCUGAUGACACAUCAACAAACGAUAACGUAGUAAACAUCGGAGAGGGGACGAGUGGGACCGAAGUCUCCUCGGCGGCAGCGAAGUCGCCCGAAUGCCCCCGAACUACUAACACAGGUGUUCACACGCACACAAGCGACGCUAAUGAACAUUGUGCGGGCGCACCCACGACUAGGUCUAGACGUCCACGCGCCAAAGUAGAUUAUAAGCAGUUUUAUUAACUAUAGUUAUUUUGUUCUUGUAGUCUUAAGUAUAUGGGGGAGGGAUGUUAUGUAUGUAGGUAUAUACUUCGCACCGCUGCGACGGUGCCCGUUGACGUUUGAAAUAAACCAGUGUGAAACUA
Long non-coding RNA from Ostrinia nubilalis (European corn borer), 854 nucleotides. RefSeq lists it as uncharacterized. NCBI's taxonomy places the organism in Eukaryota, Metazoa, Arthropoda, Insecta, Lepidoptera, Crambidae. The transcript has 2 exons. The record is from RefSeq and is a predicted model, not a curated record.